AACGAACGCUGGCGGCAUGCCUAACACAUGCAAGUCGAACGAGACCUUCGGGUCUAGUGGCGCACGGGUGCGUAACGCGUGGGAACCUGCCCUUAGGUUCGGAAUAACUCCCCGAAAGGGGUGCUAAUACCGGAUAAUGUCUUCGGACCAAAGAUUUAUCGCCUUUGGAUGGGCCCGCGUUGGAUUAGCUAGUUGGUAGGGUAAAAGCCUACCAAGGCGACGAUCCAUAGCUGGUCUGAGAGGAUGAUCAGCCACACUGAGACUGAGACACGGCCCAGACUCCUACGGGAGGCAGCAGUGGGGAAUAUUGGACAAUGGGCGAAAGCCUGAUCCAGCAAUGCCGCGUGAGUGAUGAAGGCCUUAGGGUUGUAAAGCUCUUUUACCCGGGAUGAUAAUGACAGUACCGGGUGAAUAAGCUCCGGCUAACUCCGUG
RNAcentral lists this ribosomal RNA (433 nucleotides) under uncultured bacterium. RNAcentral describes it as "partial 16S ribosomal RNA". It matches the Rfam family "Bacterial small subunit ribosomal RNA", at positions 29 to 507 of the family's 1533-position model. The record is from RNAcentral.